GAUGAACGCUGGCGGCGUGCCUAAUACAUGCAAGUCGAGCGAACAGACGAGGAGCUUGCUCCUCUGACGUUAGCGGCGGACGGGUGAGUAACACGUGGAUAACCUACCUAUAAGACUGGGAUAACUUCGGGAAACCGGAGCUAACACCGGAUAAGAUAUUGAACCGCAUGGUUCAUUAGUGAAAGACGGUUUUGCUGACACUUAUAGAUGGAACCGCGCCGCAUUAGCUAGUUGGUAAGGUAACGGCUUACCAAGGCAACGAUGCGUAGCCGACCUGAGAGGGUGAUCGGCCACACUGGAACUGAGACACGGUCCAGACUCCUACGGGAGGCAGCAGUAGGGAAUCUUCCGCAAUGGGCGAAAGCCUGACGGAGCAACGCCGCGUGAGUGAUGAAGGUCUUCGGAUCGUAAAACUCUGUUAUUAGGGAAGAACAAAUGUGUAAGUAACUAUGCACGUCUUGACGGUACCUAAUCAGAAAGCCACGGCUAACUACGUG
This 497-nucleotide ribosomal RNA is filed under the name uncultured bacterium. RNAcentral's name for it is "partial 16S ribosomal RNA". It matches the Rfam family "Bacterial small subunit ribosomal RNA", at positions 28 to 507 of the family's 1533-position model. The record is from RNAcentral.